This is a non-coding RNA of Odocoileus virginianus texanus, 1718 nucleotides long. Lineage: Eukaryota; Metazoa; Chordata; Mammalia; Artiodactyla; Cervidae. The record is from RefSeq and is a predicted model, not a curated record.
AUGCCCGCUCUGUCCACAGGCUCAGGGAGCGACGCAGGUCUGUAUGAGCUGUUGGUGGCUCUGCCAGCCCAGAUGCAGCCACACAUGAACAGCCAGAAAGACCCGACCUUCCUCUGGGAUGUGUUCGGUGAAAAAAGCCUGCAUUCACUAGUUAAGAUUCAUGAGAAACUUCACUACUAGGAGAAACAGAACCCCAUGCCCAUCCUCCAGGGCGCGGCAGCCUUGGCCGAUGACCUGGUGGAGGAGCUUCAGAACAAGCCAAUAAACAGUGAGAUCUGAGAGGGGCUGAGAAACUACUGUCAAAACCCAAGGUGAAGGCUUUGCUGUCUGUGCAUGACACUGUGGCUCAAAAGAAUUAUGAUCCUGUGUUGCCUCCUAUGCCCGAUGACAUUGAUGAUGAGGAAGACUCGGUGAAAAUCAUCUGCCUGGUCAAAAAUAGAGAACCACUGGGAGCCACUAUUAAAAAGGAUGGACAGACUGGGGCCAUCGUGGUGGCCAGGAUCAUGAGAGGAUGAGCUGCAGACAGAAGUGGUAUUAUUCAAGUUGGCGAUGAAUUUAGGGAAGUGAAUGGGAUACCUAUCGAGGGUAAUGAUCCAGGAAAUAAUCUCGAUCUUGGCUCAGUCUCAGGGUGCAAUAACAUUUAAGAUUAUACACAGCAUCAAAGAAGAGGCACCAUCGAAGGAAGGCAAGAUGUUUAUCAAAGCUGUCUUUGACUACGACCCUAAUAAGGAUAAAGCAAUUCCAUGUAAGGAAGCUGGGCUUUCUUUCAAAAAGGGAGAUCUUCUUCAGAUUAUGAGCCAAGAUGAUGCAACAUGGUGGCAAGCAAAGCAUGAAGGAGAUGCCAACCCCAGAGCAGGACUGAAUCCCUCUAAACCUUUCCAGGAAAGGAGACUGGCUCUGAGACGACCAGAAAUAUUAGUCCAGCCCCUGAAAGUUUCCAGUAGGAAAUCAUCUGGUUUUAGAAGAACUUUUCAUCUUAGUAGGAAGGAUAAGAAAACAAGUAAGUCCAUGUAUGAGUGCAAGAAGAGUGACCAGUAUGACACAGCCAAUGUGCCCAUGUAUGAGGAAGUAACACCCUAUCACCAGUAGACGAACGAGAAAUACAGACUUGGUUGGUCUUGGUUGGUCCUGUUGGAGUAGAUUUGAAUGAAGUGAAACGAAAGCUGCUGAUCAGUGAUACACAGCAAUACGGUGUGACAGUGCCCUAUGCCACCAGACCAAGAAGAAGCCAGGAGAAUGAUGGUGUUGAAUAUAUUUUCAUUUCCAAGCAUUUGUUUGAGAGGAAAUAAGUUUAUUGAAUAUGGUGAAUAUAAAAACAACUAUUACACCACAAGUAUAGACUCAGUUUGGUCUGUCCUGGCUAAAAACAAAGUUUGUUGGAUGUUCAGCCUCAUACAAUGAAGCACUUAAGGAUACUAGAAUAUAAGCCAUAUGUGAUAUUUAUAAGGCCUCUGUCGAUAGGGCAUUUGAGGGAGACAAGAAAAAAUGCAAAGAUUAUGUCAAGCAGAGACGACCAAGGUGCUGCGAAGCCCUUUAUGGAAGACAGCUUUCAAGAAAUGAUUAAAUCUGCCCAGAUAAUGGAGAGUCAGUAUGGUCAUCUUUUUGACAAAACUAUAAUAAAUGAUGAUCUUGCUGUGGCCUUCAAUGAGCUGAAAAGAACUUUUGACAAAUUGGAGACAGAUACGCAUUGGGUUCCAGUGAGCUGGUUACAUUCGUAA